UGGGGAAUUUUCCGCAAUGGGCGAAAGCCUGACGGAGCAAUACCGCGUGAGGGAAGACUGCCUAUGGGUUGUAAACCUCUUUUUUCAGGGAGGAAUAAAAUGACGUGUACCUGAAGAAUAAGCAUCGGCUAACUCCGUGCCAGCAGCCGCGGUAAGACAGAGGUGCCGAGCGUUAGGCGGAAUCACUGGGCUUAAAGCGUGUGUAGGCGGAUGCCUAAGUACCUUGUGAAAUCCCACGGCUUAACCGUG
RNAcentral lists this ribosomal RNA (249 nucleotides) under uncultured organism. Its description in RNAcentral is "partial 16S ribosomal RNA". It matches the Rfam family "Bacterial small subunit ribosomal RNA", at positions 355 to 617 of the family's 1533-position model. The record is from RNAcentral.